UGGCUCUCCAGGUGCAUCUCACGC
RNAcentral lists this non-coding RNA (24 nucleotides) under Mus musculus (house mouse). Lineage: Eukaryota; Metazoa; Chordata; Mammalia; Rodentia; Muridae. The record is from RNAcentral.